Long non-coding RNA from Zingiber officinale, 1670 nucleotides. RefSeq lists it as uncharacterized. The record is from RefSeq and is a predicted model, not a curated record. The transcript has 5 exons. NCBI's taxonomy places the organism in Eukaryota, Viridiplantae, Streptophyta, Magnoliopsida, Zingiberales, Zingiberaceae.
AACCCUAACCCUUUGCAAUUUCUCCCAAAUUCCACCCGACGCGUCUCCACGCGAUGCGAUCUUCUUCUCCAGUCCCAAAUCGCGCACGCGAUCUUCUUCUCCAAUCCCAAAUCGCGCAGGACUCCAAGGUAGGCACGACUCCAAGUUAAGGCGCACGCGAUCUUCUUCUCCUGUCCCAAAUCUCCACGGCUCAAAGGUAGGCGCGACUCCAACUUAAGGCGUACACGAUCUUCUUCCCCGAUCCCAAAUCACGCACGACUCCAAGGUACGCAAGGCUCCACCGAACGCGAUCUAUUUUUAGUUGUAGGUAGAUAUGAGAUUGAUCGCAUGGAGGUGAACCUAAGAAGGAAAGGGUCCUUCACGUCUUUGAGAGAGGAUCUGAGGGAGACGUUCUUGCCAAAGGAUCCAUUUCGGUACCGUCUGGCUGAGGCAGAGUGUCACCAGUCCUCGAGAUCUACGCUAAUGCUCAUGUACUUGGUAACCAUUCUGGAAUGGGGCCAAAAUAUAACCUUGCUAAGUUCCAAUGCGAUCUCCUCGUCGGCUUCACCAUCGCCAUCCUCGCUGUCCCACAAAGGCAUCAGCUACGCUCGCCUCGCCUACCUUCACCCCUUCAUCGGCCUCUAUUCGAAUUUCAUCCCACCGUUAAUCUAUGCGAUAUUUGGUAGCUCCACAAACGUGGCUAUGGGGGGCACCGCCGCCGUCUAGCUGUUUCUUGCUUCGAUCGGCUAUCGGAGCAAAAGUAUCGCCGGUUGACCACCCGGAGUUGGACACGCAUUUGCUCUUCACCGCCGCCUUCUUCACUGGACUCUUUCAAGCGGCGCUCGGCAUCUUCAGGCUGAGUGGUGGAGUUCUUCUCACAUUCGAUGAUCACUGGUUUCAUGGGAGGUACAACGGUCAUCUUCAUCAUGUAACAACUCAAAGGGAUGCUGGGAUUGAAAUAUUUCACCACAAACACUGAUCUCGUCUCUAUCAUUUGCUUUAUCAACUCCCACAGAGAUGAGUUUGAUACUUAAUUAAUUACUUGAAAAUUAAUUAUAAAUCAUCUGGGACUGCUUGCUAUUGCUGAUAAUUUAAAGUUUCAGUGAAGAUGGGAAAGUGCUGCUCAUGGGAGAUACUUGAUUACCAUUUUGCUCCUUGAUAGUCAUGUGGUUAUGAUAACAUAUGCUUCAUAUUCUUCAGCCAACAGUCAACAAAAGGUUGUGGUCCAAAUCUCAAUGGAGAUAAUAUAAAUUUAUACUGUUGAUUGUCUCAACAAACUUGGUUGGUUCAUUAAUCCGUAUGAAGUAAUUCAUCUCAUGGAGUUCGAGACAAGGGAGGGCAAAGGGAAAAAAUCAUAGACAUGCGUGCUACUAGCAAGAGGAUAGAUGAAGACAUUAUUGAAAGUAAAAAAGUGUUGAACUUCUUAUCACAAAAAAUAGAGAGAGGGAAGAAAAGUUUAUCUACUAAGGUAGGCAAAGUAAAGAAAAGGAGAAGGUUUGUAAAAUGAUUUAAGAGGUGAAAUAUUCAAAUCAUUAUAUCUAGGAGGAUAUGAUCCUUGUGAUCAUGAGCGUCGUAAUAGAAUGUAAAGAUUAGAUUACUUAAGGUGAGAUUUAAAAAUUUAUAUAUUUGAUUAGAUGAUGUAAAUAUUUACUUAUCCCAAUGUUAAUUUUAUGAUACUUUUGGAUUAGAAA